CCUACGGGUGGCAGCAGUAGGGAAUAUUGCUCAAUGGGGGAAACCCUGAAGCAGCGACGCCGCGUGAAGGAUGAAGGUUUUCGGAAUGUAAACCUCUUUUAGUAGGGAAGAAAAUGACGGUACCUAAUGAAUAAGCACCGGCUAACUCCGUGCCAGCAGCCGCGGUAAUACGGAGGGUGCAAGCGUUACUCGGAAUUACUGGGCGUAAAGGGCGCGUAGGCGGGAUCACAAGUCUGGUGUGAAAUACUGUGGCUUAACCAUAGAACUGCAUUUGAAACUGUUGUUCUAGAGUUGGGGAGAGGUAGGUGGAAUUCGUGGUGUAGGGGUGAAAUCCGUAGAGAUCAAGAGGAAUACUCAUUGCGAAGGCGACCUACUGGAACAUAACUGACGCUGAUGCGCGAAAGCGUGGGGAGCAAACAGGAUUAGAUACCCGAGUAGUC
This 440-nucleotide ribosomal RNA is filed under the name uncultured bacterium. Its description in RNAcentral is "partial 16S ribosomal RNA". It matches the Rfam family "Bacterial small subunit ribosomal RNA", at positions 338 to 795 of the family's 1533-position model. The record is from RNAcentral.